AACCUGCCUCAAAGAGGGGGACAACAGUUGGAAACGACUGCUAAUACCGAAUACGCUCAUGAUGAACUUUGUGAGGAAAGGUGGCCUCUGCUUGCAAGCUAUCGCAUAGAGAUGAGUCCGCGUCCCAUUAGCUAGUUGGUGGGGUAACGGCCUACCAAGGCAACGAUGGGUAGCCGAUCUGAGAGGAUGAUCGGCCACACUGGAACUGAAACACGGUCCAG
RNAcentral lists this ribosomal RNA (221 nucleotides) under uncultured bacterium. RNAcentral's name for it is "partial 16S ribosomal RNA". It matches the Rfam family "Bacterial small subunit ribosomal RNA", at positions 123 to 334 of the family's 1533-position model. The record is from RNAcentral.